AGUGAACGCUGGCGGCGUGCCUAAUACAUGCAAGUCGAACGGAGAUUAAGUAGCUUGCUAUUUAAUCUUAGUGGCGCACGGGUGAGUAAUAUAUAGCUAACUUGCCCAUUACUAAGGGACAACAGUUGGAAACGACUGCUAAUACCUUAUACUCCGUAUCUAUAUAAGUAGAUACGGGAAAGUUUUUCGGUAAUGGAUAGGGCUAUAUCGUAUCAGCUAGUUGGUAAGGUAAUGGCUUACCAAGGCUAUGACGCGUAACUGGUCUGAGAGGAUGAUCAGUCACACUGGAACUGAGACACGGUCCAGACUCCUACGGGAGGCAGCAGUAGGGAAUAUUGCUCAAUGGGGGAAACCCUGAAGCAGCAACGCCGCGUGGAGGAUGACACUUUUCGGAGCGUAAACUCCUUUUCUUGGGAAAGAAUUAUGGCGGUACCCAAGGAAUAAGCACCGGCUAACUCCGUG
RNAcentral lists this ribosomal RNA (462 nucleotides) under uncultured bacterium. RNAcentral describes it as "partial 16S ribosomal RNA". It matches the Rfam family "Bacterial small subunit ribosomal RNA", at positions 29 to 507 of the family's 1533-position model. The record is from RNAcentral.